RNAcentral lists this ribosomal RNA (492 nucleotides) under uncultured bacterium. RNAcentral describes it as "partial 16S ribosomal RNA". It matches the Rfam family "Bacterial small subunit ribosomal RNA", at positions 29 to 507 of the family's 1533-position model. The record is from RNAcentral.
AGUGAACGCUGGCGGUAGGCCUAACACAUGCAAGUCGAACGGCAGCACAGUAAGAGCUUGCUCUUACGGGUGGCGAGUGGCGGACGGGUGAGGAAUACAUCGGAAUCUACUUUUUCGUGGGGGAUAACGUAGGGAAACUUACGCUAAUACCGCAUACGACCUACGGGUGAAAGCAGGGGAUCUUCGGACCUUGCGCGAUUGAAUGAGCCGAUGUCGGAUUAGCUAGUUGGCGGGGUAAAGGCCCACCAAGGCGACGAUCCGUAGCUGGUCUGAGAGGAUGAUCAGCCACACUGGAACUGAGACACGGUCCAGACUCCUACGGGAGGCAGCAGUGGGGAAUAUUGGACAAUGGGCGCAAGCCUGAUCCAGCCGUGCCGCGUGUAUGAAGAAGGCCUUCGGGUUGUAAAGUACUUUCAGCGGGGAGGAAGGGAGUAAAGUUAAUACCUUUGCUCAUUGACGUUACCCGCAGAAGAAGCACCGGCUAACUCCGUG